AAAUACCACCUUUUGACUCUUGCUGAUGUGAUAUAUAUAUAGAGCUACGCUGGUAUACUAUCGGUAGCACGGAGGCUUCCGUGCUACCAAGUUGUUUUCAAUAAUGCGAUUUCGAAAUCGACUAUCGGCUCUUUUAGACUUGAUCUACACUAUUAAAAGUAUUUGGAAACUAAAUUUCAUAAUUUUUCGAUAUUAUUUGGCUAGUGAUCAAAAGGUCUUAAAAUUGACAAUUUUAAUGAUAAAUGUUAUGCAUUUUUGAAUUUAACGGUGUAAAAUAAUUCAAAUUUGAUGAAAUUUUUAUAAAAAAUUCUUUUCACUAUUUAGAGUAAGAUCAGCACCUCUGAUCUUAAAUUCAAGUCUUUUAUCAUUAUUUUUUAUGAGAUUUUUAUUUUCAGCAGUUCAUUUUUAGACUACUCGUUUCAUAAGUAAAUGAUGCCGAAAAAUUAUGAAAUUUAGUUUCUAAAUACUUUCAAUAGUGUAGAUCAAGUCUAACGGAGCUGAUUGCCGAUUUGGAAACCGCAUCAUUAAAAACAACUUGGUAGUUCGUGCUAUCGAUAGUAUACCAGUCUAGUUCUCUCUCUCUCUCUCUCUCUCUCUCUGUCUAUAAUUAUAAUAUAUAUAGAAUUAAGCUAGAAUACUUUUAGGAGUACCAACCUCUUGGUGCUUCUAAUUUCUAGCCUUUGGAUCUACUCCUUAAUUACUAAUACCCCUUGAAUCA
Molecule: long non-coding RNA, 718 nt
Filed under: Ananas comosus (pineapple)
Lineage: Eukaryota; Viridiplantae; Streptophyta; Magnoliopsida; Poales; Bromeliaceae
Description: long non-coding RNA (ACOM_LNC003982)
Source: RNAcentral